AAAAUAGGUUUAUGCGAAUAUUGUUGGAGUGUCAGUAUCUCCUCAUUCCCGUUCUAUCUGUUAUUCUCACCCCCCUUUUUGAGUCUACGCUUCUCAUUUCCCUUCUAUCCUUAGUUACUAUUCCUUGUUAUCCUUUCAACUACCUUGUUGAUCUUAAGCUUUCCAUUGUAAUAGUUAGUUUGAGCAUGCAAUCAAAGGAAUUGAUUCCUUGUAGUUGAGCAUUCAAGUGUUCACUUCAGAAGAUCUCUCAAGAAUGGUUCAGUUUCGCUAAUUCAGAUGUAGAUGAAAGCCUCACUGGAGGAGAUGCCAUCAAGUUAUUUGCCAUGUCCAAUUUGCCUCGUCAAGAGCUCAAGCAGGUUCUUUUCUUUUCUACUUCCUUUAUUUCCUUAAUAUCGUUCACUUGUACCCAAUAACCCCAUUAUUCAAGUGAGCCGUUAUUUUCUUAGAUAGUGUAUAUAUGGUCAAAAUUAUUUUAUUAUAUGGCAGAUCUUGAAUCCUCUUGA
Solanum verrucosum is the source of this 503-nucleotide long non-coding RNA. RefSeq lists it as uncharacterized. Lineage: Eukaryota; Viridiplantae; Streptophyta; Magnoliopsida; Solanales; Solanaceae. The record is from RefSeq and is a predicted model, not a curated record. The transcript has 2 exons.